Molecule: non-coding RNA, 1026 nt
Organism: Podarcis lilfordi (Lilford's wall lizard)
Lineage: Eukaryota; Metazoa; Chordata; Lepidosauria; Squamata; Lacertidae
Source: the annotation of a GenBank genome assembly
CGGGGUGAGCUCCCGUUGCUCGGUCCCUGCUCCUGCCAACCUAGCAGUUCGAAAGCACAUCAAAGUGCAAGUAGAUAAAUAGGUACUGCUCCGGCGGGAAGGUAAACGGCGUUUCCGUGCGCUGCUCUGGUUCGCCAGAAGCGGCUUAGUCCUGCUGGCCACAUGACCCGGAAGCUGUACGCCGGCUCCCUCGGCCAGUAAAGCGAGAUGAGCGCCGCAACCCCAGAGUCGGCCACGACUGGACCUAAUGGUCAGGGGUCCCUUUACCUUUACCUACUUCAAUGUUUGGGGCAUCUCUUCUGCUUAGAGUCCCUCCCGCCUAAGGAUUUCUCCCAUUUGUGAGAAAUCAAUCUUUUAGAGUGGCAGCGCCUGAACUUUGGAACUCCACGCCUAUUGAUGCCUGGCAGGCAACUUGACUGUACCUUUUUUUGGUGUGUGUGUCUGCUAAAAACAUUUUUGUUUAGGCAAGCCUCUCCAGAUGUGUAGAACACCGAUUUGCGUCGUAAUCUGGCUUCUAGCUUAUCUCUGUUUUCUAUUUCUUGGGAGGGAAUGUUGCUUUUAUCUGGUUUUAACAAUGAGUACAUUUCUUUGUUCCUUUUGCAAAGCACUUCAAAAAAAUUUUUUGGUUUUUAAACACACACACACACACACACACACACACACAUAUAUAUAUGUAAUGGGACGUGGGUGGCGCUGUGGGUUAAACCACAGAGCCUAGGACUUGCCGAUCAGAAGGUCGGCGGUUCGAAUCCCCGUGACGGGGUGAGCUCCCGUUGCUUGGUCCCUGCUCCUGCCAACCUAGCAGUUCGAAAGCACUUCAAAGUGCAAGUAGAUAAAUAGGUACCGCUCCAGCGGGAAGGUAAACGGCGUUUCCGUGCGCUGCUCUGGUUCGCCAGAAGUGGCUUAGUCCUGCUGGCCACAUGACCCGGAAGCUGUACGCCGGCUCCCUCGGCCAAUAAAGCGAGAUGAGCGCCGCAACCCCAGAGUCGGCCACGACUGGACCUAAUGGUCAGGGGUCCCUUUACC